UCCUGGUGGCUCAGUGGUAAAGAAUCUGCUUGCAGUGCAGGAGAUGUGGGUUCAAUCCCUGCCUCAGGAA
This 70-nucleotide transfer RNA is filed under the name Bos taurus (domestic cattle). It matches the Rfam family "tRNA". Rfam says of the family: Transfer RNA (tRNA) molecules are approximately 80 nucleotides in length. The record is from Rfam by way of RNAcentral. Lineage: Eukaryota; Metazoa; Chordata; Mammalia; Artiodactyla; Bovidae. RNAcentral also lists the same sequence under 2 other names.